UGCGCAGGCGGAUGGAUGUGUCAGGUGUGAAAUCUCGGGGCUCAACCUCGAAACUGCGCCUGAAACUGUUCAUCUAGAGUAUUGGAGAGGUAAGCGGAAUUUCCGGAGUAGCGGUGAAAUGCGUAGAUAUCGGAAGGAACACCAAUGGCGAAGGCAGCUUACUGGACAAUAACUGACGCUCAGGCACGAAAGCAGUGGGUAGCGAAAG
This 208-nucleotide ribosomal RNA is filed under the name uncultured bacterium. RNAcentral describes it as "partial 16S ribosomal RNA". It matches the Rfam family "Bacterial small subunit ribosomal RNA", at positions 568 to 774 of the family's 1533-position model. The record is from RNAcentral.